Molecule: ribosomal RNA, 414 nt
Filed under: Triticum aestivum (bread wheat)
Lineage: Eukaryota; Viridiplantae; Streptophyta; Magnoliopsida; Poales; Poaceae
Description: partial small subunit ribosomal RNA
Source: RNAcentral
CCCCCUUAUGGGUGUUUACGUAGAAAUACUAUUUUUGCUUAUUUUGAUGAUCCUCGAUACAGAAAAGAUAAAAAGGGUUCAUGAAUUAUUAAAUUUAGAUAUAGGACCCUAGAAGAAGAAUAUAGGACUCGAGCGUAAGACUCAGAAGAGGAAUAUGAGACCCUAGAAGACGAAUACAGGACCCGAGAGGACGAAUAUGAAUAUGAAACCCUAGAAGAAUCUAAAUAUGGAAUCCUAGAAGACAAAUACGAAUAUGAAACCCUAGAAGACGAAUAUGGGAGCCCAGAAAACGAAUAUGAGAACCCAGAGAACGAAUAUAGGACUUUAGAGAAAGACUUAGAAGAGGAAUAUGGGAGCCCAGAGAGCAAAUAUAGGACCCAAGGGGACGAAUAUGGAACUCUUGAGGAAGACUAG